GGAUCCAGACUUUGAUUCUGGCUCAGGACGAACGCUGGCGGCGUGCUUAACACAUGCAAGUCGAACGAGAAGAGAUGAGAAGCUUGCUUCUUAUUGAUUCGAGUGGCAAACGGGUGAGUAACGCGUAAGCAACCUGCCCUCUAGAUGGGGACAACAGCUGGAAACGGCUGCUAAUACCGAAUACGUUCUUUCUGUCGCAUGGCAGAAGGAAGAAAGGGAGGCUCUUCGGAGCUUUCGCUGGAGGAGGGGCUUGCGUCUGAUUAGCUAGUUGGAGGGGUAACGGCCCACCAAGGCGACGAUCAGUAGCCGGUCUGAGAGGAUGAACGGCCACAUUGGGACUGAGACACGGCCCAGACUCCUACGGGAGGCAGCAGUGGGGAAUCUUCCGCAAUGGACGAAAGUCUGACGGA
RNAcentral lists this ribosomal RNA (410 nucleotides) under uncultured Bacillota bacterium. Its description in RNAcentral is "bacterial SSU rRNA". It matches the Rfam family "Bacterial small subunit ribosomal RNA", at positions 1 to 390 of the family's 1533-position model. The record is from RNAcentral. Lineage: Bacteria; Bacillati; Bacillota.